This 1077-nucleotide long non-coding RNA is filed under the name Cricetulus griseus (Chinese hamster). RNAcentral describes it as "lncRNA (ENSCGRG00015018633.2)". The record is from RNAcentral. Lineage: Eukaryota; Metazoa; Chordata; Mammalia; Rodentia; Cricetidae.
UGUUAUUGUUAUUUAUUAUUAUUAUUAUUAGAGGAUGAACUGCUCCAGAGGAGGCAGGAAGAGAGUGACCUGGAUCCUGUUGGGGGAGGGAGACUCCAUGCUGGUGGCACAUGUCAGUGAGUCUGCCAUAGGGAGACAGGACUUGAUGUAUGGACACAGCUAAUGCUAGGGUACUGGAAGUUUGUGUGUACUCUGGGCUAACAACACAACUCACCAUUUAUUGAACUACUACUAUAAACCAGAGAUCACGCUGAGCAGCCUAAAGACCCCAUCUGGCUUAAUGUUUGUGACAAUCACAGGAGGUAAAGGUGACCCACAUGAAAGUGACAAUCAAUGACUGAUGGUGAUUUUAACCAUUAAUAAAUAAGAACAACACAUAUAAUGCUGCUUACUGGCUCACUCUCUGGCUGACACUCAGCUUUCUUCUACAGUGUAGGUUUGUCUGCUUCCUGGAGUGGGCUCGGCUCUCCCACAUAAAUCACCAAUCAAUGUAAUUUCUUGCAGACAAGGCCACAAGCCAAUCUGAUCAAUGCAACUCUUCAGUUGAAGUUCCCUUCUCCCAGGUGACUCAAGAUAAAUCACCUUCAGGAAGCUGAAUGAAGCCAUCCAUUCUCCUGCAAGCCACACACUUCCCAGCCACUCCCACCGGCCUCCUUGGGUACUAUCUGGAAGUGGGAAUAGCAUAUAUCUCUCUUCCCCAGGUCCUAGGAAGUUACCUGGUUUUCUGGUUGUGUCCCCCAACAUUCAGGCCACAGACCAUCCAGCAUCAGAUCUACUUUUCUGCACAUUCCAAGCUUCGUUGUCACCCGACUCUACAUAUCAGCACUCAGACUACCCGGGAAUCUUCACAGACUCCGGAAUGGAGGACCUUGUUCUUGCUUCUUAAAUGCUUUCCCAAAAAUUUCCAUGAGGGCUGGAGAGACGACUUGGGGGUGAGGAGUGCUUGCUGCUCCUGCAGAGGACCCCCAGUGCCAGGAGAGCCGACACUCUCUCCUGGCCUCCAAAAGUACUGCCCUUCCUUACACAUGUCCACCACAGACAGACACACACACACACACACACACACACACACACACA